CCUACGGGAGGCAGCAGUGAGGAAUAUUGGUCAAUGGCCGCAAGGCUGAACCAGCCAAGCCGCGUGAGGGAUGAAGGUCCUCUGCAUCGCAGACCUCUUUUGCCGGGGAGCAAAGGGCCGGACGUGUGCAGUCCUGAGUGUACCCGAAGAAAAAGCAUCGGCUAACUCCGUGCCAGCAUCCGCGGUAAUACUGAGGAUGCGAGCGUUAUCCGGAUUUACUGGGCUUAAAGGGGGCGGAGGCGGGAAGGAAAGUCAGAUGGGAAAUUCUAGGGCUCAAACCCAGAACUGCCUUUGAAACUGGCAUUCUGGAGUGUGCGAGAGGUAGGUGGAAUUCGUGGUGUAGGGGUAAAAUCCGUAGAGAUCACGAGGAACACCGAUUGCGAAGGCGACAUGCUAGCACAUAACUGACGCUGAUGCGCGAAAGCGUGGGGAGCAAACAGGAUUAGAUACCCCAGUAGUC
RNAcentral lists this ribosomal RNA (460 nucleotides) under uncultured bacterium. RNAcentral's name for it is "partial 16S ribosomal RNA". It matches the Rfam family "Bacterial small subunit ribosomal RNA", at positions 338 to 795 of the family's 1533-position model. The record is from RNAcentral.